ACAAGCCCUGGAAACGGGGUCUAAUACCGGAUACGACCUGCUACCGCAUGGUGGCGGGUGGAAAGCUCCGGCGGUGAAGGAUGAGCCCGCGGCCUAUCAGCUUGUUGGUGAGGUAAUGGCUCACCAAGGCGACGACGGGUAGCCGGCCUGAGAGGGCGACCGGCCACACUGGGACUGAGACACGGCCCAGACUCCUACGGGAGGCAGCAGUGGGGAAUAUUGCACAAUGGGCGAAAGCCUGAUGCAGCGACGCCGCGUGAGGGAUGACGGCCUUCGGGUUGUAAACCUCUUUCAGCAGGGAAGAAGCGAGAGUGACGGUACCUGCAGAAGAAGCGCCGGCUAACUACGUGCCAGCAGCCGCGGUAAUACGUAGGGCGCAAGCGUUGUCCGGAAUUAUUGGGCGUAAAGAGCUCGUAGGCGGCUUGUCACGUCGAUUGUGAAAGCCCGAGGCUUAACCUCGGGUCUGCAGUCGAUACGGGCUAGCUAGAGUGUGGUAGGGGAGAUCGGAAUUCCUGGUGUAGCGGUGAAAUGCGCAGAUAUCAGGAGGAACACCGGUGGCGAAGGCGGAUCUCUGGGCCAUUACUGACGCUGAGGAGCGAAAGCGUGGGGAGCGAACAGGAUUAGAUACCCUGGUAGUCCACGCCGUAAACGGUGGGAACUAGGUGUUGGCGACAUUCCACGUCGUCGGUGCCGCAGCUAACGCAUUAAGUUCCCCGCCUGGGGAGUACGGCCGCAAGGCUAAAACUCAAAGGAAUUGACGGGG
Molecule: ribosomal RNA, 763 nt
Filed under: Actinomycetales bacterium TLI004
Lineage: Bacteria; Bacillati; Actinomycetota; Actinomycetes; Actinomycetales
Description: bacterial SSU rRNA
Rfam family: Bacterial small subunit ribosomal RNA
Source: RNAcentral